GUACACGCUGUGACUAGCAUAUCAAUAAGCGGAGGAAAAGAAACUAACAAGGAUUCCCCUAGUAACGGCGAGUGAAGCGGGAAGAGCUCAAAUUUGAAAUCUUAAAGGGUUUCCCUUUACGAAUUGUAGUUUAAGAGAAGUGUUUUCUGUUGAGGUUUUGGUAAAAGUUCUUUGGAAUAGGACAUCAUAGAGGGUGAGAAUCCCGUAUUUGACCUUUACUUUCAACUUUGUGAUACACUUUCAAAGAGUCGGAUUGUUUGGGAAUGCAGUCCAAGAUGGGUGGUAAAUUUCAUCUAAAGCUAAAUAUUGGCGAGAGACCGAUAGCGAACAAGUACCGUGAGGGAAAGAUGAAAAGAACUUUGAAAAGAGAGUUAAACAGUACGUGAAAUUGUCAAAAGGGAAGCGUUUGACACCAGUGUUGUUUUUCUGAAAAUCAAUUAAAGAACUGUUUAUGCUAAGUUGUUUAGACUUUAUCAGCUAACUGUUUAGUUUUGAGCUUUUCUUUAAUGCACUUUUCAGUUAACAAGUCAACAUCAAUUUCUUUUGCUGUAAAAAAGCUUGAGGAAGGUGGCUUGAGAUUCGUCUUAAGUGUUUAUAGCCUCUUGCCUAUGCAGUCGGAGAGAUUGAGGUCUGCAGCGUAGAUCCUUCGGGGCUAAAUGCAUUUGUGCUAAGUUAUAGCAUUUUAUAGACAACUUGUUGACUAUGAUUUGUCUUGUAGCUUACUCGCUUAUGUUAUUUUACCUACGCUUAGGAUGUUGAUAUGCAUGACUGAUAU
This 775-nucleotide ribosomal RNA is filed under the name uncultured Neocallimastigales. RNAcentral's name for it is "partial large subunit ribosomal RNA". It matches the Rfam family "Eukaryotic large subunit ribosomal RNA", at positions 22 to 636 of the family's 3401-position model. The record is from RNAcentral. Lineage: Eukaryota; Fungi; Neocallimastigomycota; Neocallimastigomycetes; Neocallimastigales.